RNAcentral lists this ribosomal RNA (375 nucleotides) under Lathyrus oleraceus (garden pea). Its description in RNAcentral is "Pisum sativum (pea) partial ribosomal RNA". The stretch from base 162 to 375 matches the Rfam family "Bacterial small subunit ribosomal RNA", at positions 1 to 242 of the family's 1533-position model. The record is from RNAcentral. Lineage: Eukaryota; Viridiplantae; Streptophyta; Magnoliopsida; Fabales; Fabaceae.
AUGGGAGGCAACUCCGGGCGAAUAGUAAGCCCAUGGAUACAAGUCAAGUUAUGUCUUCUCAGUUCAGUAACUGAAAUCAAAUUUAAGUUCAGUAAAUGAAAUCAAAUUCCGAAUCAGCUUUGUCUAGAAACAAGGAAGCUAUAAGUAAUGCAACUAGGAAGCUCAUGGAGAGUUUGAUCUGGCUCAGGAUGAACGCUGGCGGCAUGCUUUACACAUGCAAGUCGGACGGGAAGUGGUGUUUCCAGUGGCGAACGGGUGAGUAACGCGUAAGAACCUGCCCUUGGGAGGGGGACAACAGCUGGAAACGGCUGCUAAUACCCCGUAGGCUGAGGAGCGAAAGGAGGAAUCCGCCCAAGGAGGCGCUCGCGUCUGAUU